This 751-nucleotide ribosomal RNA is filed under the name uncultured bacterium. RNAcentral describes it as "bacterial SSU rRNA". It matches the Rfam family "Bacterial small subunit ribosomal RNA", at positions 8 to 796 of the family's 1533-position model. The record is from RNAcentral.
AGAGUUUGAUCAUGGCUCAGAACGAACGCUGGCGGCAUGCCUAACACAUGCAAGUCGAACGUGAUCCAGGCCUUCGGGUUUGGUGAAAGUGGCAGACGGGUGAGUAACGCGUGGGAACCUGCCCAAUGGUAGGGAAUAACCGCGGAAACUGCGGCUAAUACCCUAUGACCCCUGCGGGGGAAAGAUUUAUCGCCAUUGGAGGGGCCCGCGUCGGAUUAGGUAGUUGGUAGGGUAACGGCCUACCAAGCCUUCGAUCCGUAGCUGGUCUGAGAGGAUGAUCGGCCACACUGGGACUGAGAUACGGCCCAGACUCCUACGGGAGGCAGCAGUGGGGAAUAUUGGACAAUGGGGGCAACCCUGAUCCAGCAAUGCCGCGUGAGUGAUGAAGGCCUUCGGGUUGUAAAGCUCUUUCGGCGGGGAAGAUGAUGACGGUACCCGCAGAAGAAGCCCCGGCUAACUUCGUGCCAGCAGCCGCGGUAAUACGAAGGGGGCUAGCGUUGUUCGGAAUUACUGGGCGUAAAGGGCGCGUAGGCUGUGCUGUAAGUCAGGCGUGAAAUCCCCGGGCUCAACCUGGGAAUUGCGCAUGAUACUGCGGCGCUUGAAGACGGGAGAGGAUGGCGGAAUUCCCAGUGUAGAGGUGAAAUUCGUAGAUAUUGGGAAGAACACCGGGCGAAGGCGGCCAUCUGGCCCGUAAUUGACGCUGAGGCGCGAAAGCGUGGGGAGCAAACAGGAUUAGAUACCCUAGUAGUCC